This is a long non-coding RNA of Pomacea canaliculata, 523 nucleotides long. RefSeq lists it as uncharacterized. Lineage: Eukaryota; Metazoa; Mollusca; Gastropoda; Architaenioglossa; Ampullariidae. The transcript has 3 exons. The record is from RefSeq and is a predicted model, not a curated record.
CGCCAGCCUUCCCAACCUAACUUAUCCACCGACAUCUGGUGCACUUUGAGUGUGAGGUGAUGUCUGUAGACAUGUUUCUACCCAGAUACUCGGUAAAAGUGAAUUGCGCGGAACUUAAACAAGGUUCAUGGUGGUAGUUUGGUGGAGACCAAUGCUUCAGCCGACAGUCACGACACUUUGAUGACUUUCCCUCGAAAGUGUUGCUCCGCCUGUCCGUCGUCCUUCCUGUCUGAUCUGCCAACCUCGUCAGAGAGAGAGAGACGACUGCUCCUCCGGCGACACGGAGUCGAGCCUGUCCCAGUCUAGGGACAUGUGGUGUCUCCCACGACUGAUACACCACUACAACCACUGUAACCACUGAGACUGUCAGUCGAAGAAAAGAUAAGCCAAGGCUGUGAAAUGAGUCAGCUGUGUAAUGAUGGAGAAGGACUUGCUGGUUCAUCUCACAGUUUGGUUUCCCUGAUGUUUAGAAGCUUGACUGGCAUCCCACCUCAUCUGAUGAGCAGCGAGCACCGUCAAGGGA